Molecule: unclassified non-coding RNA, 391 nt
Filed under: soil metagenome
Description: partial contains 5.8S ribosomal RNA, internal transcribed spacer 2, and large subunit ribosomal RNA
Rfam family: 5.8S ribosomal RNA (bases 1-122)
Source: RNAcentral
GAUGAAGAACGUAGCGAAAUGCGAUACUUGGUGUGAAUUGCAGAAUCCCGUGAACCAUCGAGUCUUUGAACGCAAGUUGCGCCCGAAGCCACUAGGCCGAGGGCACGCCUGCCUGGGCGUCACACGUCGUUGCCCCCCCAUCUACUCCUUCGGGAUUGCGGGGGGGCGGAUGAUGGCCUCCCGUGCGCCUAGCCGCGCGGUUGGCAUAAAUACCAAGUCCUCGGCGACGCACGCCACGACAAUCGGUGGUUGCGAAACCUCGGUUGCCCGUCGUGUGCGUUCGUCGCGCAUCGAGGGCUCGAAAAAAUGCUCGGCUCCGGCUGGGCUUUCAACGCGACCCCAGGUCAGGCGGGGUUACCCGCUGAAUUUAAGCAUAUCAAUAAGCGGAGCA